AAAAAAGGUAAGCUACUAAGAGCGAAUGGUGGAUGCCUUGACUGGUAAAGGCGAUGAAGGACGUACUAGACUGCGAUAAGCUACGGGGAGCUGUCAAGAAGCUUUGAUCCGUAGAUUUCCGAAUGGGGCAACCCAAUGUAUAGAGAUAUACAUUACCUAUAUAGGAGCGAACGAGGGGAAUUGAAACAUCUUAGUACCCUCAGGAAAAGAAAUCAAUAGAGAUUGCGUCAGUAGCGGCGAGCGAAAGCGCAAGAGGGCAAACCCAGUGCUUGCACUGGGGGUUGUAGGACUGCAAUGUGCAAGAGGUAAGUUUAGCAGAACAUUCUGGAAAGUAUAACCAUAGAGGGUGAUAGUCCCGUAUGCGAAAAACAAACCUUAGCUAGCAGUAUCCUGAGUAGGGCGGGACACGAGGAAUCCUGUCUGAAUCCGGGUCGACCACGAUCCAACCCUAAAUACUAAUACCAGAUCGAUAGUGCACAAGUACCGUGAGGGAAAGGUGAAAAGAACUGAGGUGAUCAGAGUGAAAUAGAACCUGAAACCAUUUGCUUACAAUCAUUCAGAGCCCUAUGUAGCAAUACAGGGUGAUGGACUGCCUUUUGCAUAAUGAGCCUGCGAGUUGUGGUGUCUGGCAAGGUUAAGCAAACGCGAAGCCGUAGUGAAAGCGAGUCUGAAUAGGGCGCUUAGUCAGAUGCUGCAGACCCGAAACGAAGUGAUCUAUCCAUGAGCAAGUUGAAGCUAGUGUAAGAACUAGUGGAGGACUGAACCCAUAGGCGUUGAAAAGCCCCGGGAUGACUUGUGGAUAGGGGUGAAAGGCCAAUCAAACUUCGUGAUAGCUGGUUCUCUCCGAAAUAUAUUUAGGUAUAGCGUUGUGUCGUAAUAUAAGGGGGUAGAGCACUGAAUGGGCUAGGGCAUACACCAAUGUACCAAACCCUAUCAAACUCCGAAUACCUUAUAUGUAAUCACAGCAGUCAGGCGGCGAGUGAUAAAAUCCGUCGUCAAGAGGGAAACAACCCAGACUACCAGCUAAGGUCCCUAAAUCUUACUUAAGUGGAAAACGAUGUGAAGUUACUUAAACAACCAGGAGGUUGGCUUAGAAGCAGCCAUCCUUUAAAGAAAGCGUAAUAGCUCACUGGUCUAGUGAUUUUGCGCGGAAAAUAUAACGGGGCUAAAGUAAGUACCGAAGCUGUAGACUUGCACACAACUUAGAUUAUUUAAGUUUAGAAUAUGAGAAACUAAGUUAUAUGUUUAGUUAUAUUUUUACUGAUUUUUAUAGAGUAAAGAUAGAAAUAAAACUUAGUAAAAUCAGUAAAAAUAUUCUUAGACUAAAGUUAAGUAGUUUAAGUUGUGUGCAAGUGGUAGGAGAGCGUUCUAUUUGCGUCGAAGGUAUACCGGUAAGGAGUGCUGGAGCGAAUAGAAGUGAGCAUGCAGGCAUGAGUAGCGAUAAUUAAUGUGAGAAUCAUUAACGCCGUAAACCCAAGGUUUCCUACGCGAUGCUCGUCAUCGUAGGGUUAGUCGGGUCCUAAGUCGAGUCCGAAAGGGGUAGACGAUGGCAAAUUGGUUAAUAUUCCAAUACCAACAUUAGUGUGCGAUGGAAGGACGCUUAGGGCUAAGGGGGCUAGCGGAUGGAAGUGCUAGUCUAAGGUCGUAGGAGGUUGUACAGGCAAAUCCGUAUAACAAUACUCCGAGAACUGAAAGGCUUUUUGAAGUCUUCGGAUGGAUAGAAGAACCCCUGAUGCCGUCGAGCCAAGAAAAGUUUCUAAGUUUAGCUAAUGUUGCCCGUACCGUAAACCGACACAGGUGGGUGGGAUGAGUAUUCUAAGGCGCGUGGAAGAACUCUCUUUAAGGAACUCUGCAAAAUAGCACCGUAUCUUCGGUAUAAGGUGUGGUUAGCUUUGUAUUAGGAUUUACUCCGAAAGCAAGGAAACUUACAACAAAGAGUCCCUCCCGACUGUUUACCAAAAACACAGCACUCUGCUAACUCGUAAGAGGAUGUAUAGGGUGUGACGCCUGCCCGGUGCUCGAAGGUUAAUUGAUGGGGUUAGCAUUAGCGAAGCUCUUGAUCGAAGCCCGAGUAAACGGCGGCCGUAACUAUAACGGUCCUAAGGUAGCGAAAUUCCUUGUCGGUUAAAUACCGACCUGCAUGAAUGGCGUAACGAGAUGGGAGCUGUCUCAAAGAGGGAUCCAGUGAAAUUGUAGUGGAGGUGAAAAUUCCUCCUACCCGCGGCAAGACGGAAAGACCCCGUGGACCUUUACUACAGCUUGACACUGCUACUUGGAUAAGAAUGUGCAGGAUAGGUGGGAGGCUUUGAGUAUAUGACGCCAGUUGUAUAUGAGCCAUUGUUGAGAUACCACUCUUUCUUAUUUGGGUAGCUAACCAGCUUGAGUUAUCCUCAAGUGGGACAAUGUCUGGUGGGUAGUUUGACUGGGGCGGUCGCCUCCCAAAUAAUAACGGAGGCUUACAAAGGUUGGCUCAGAACGGUUGGAAAUCGUUCGUAGAGUAUAAAGGUAUAAGCCAGCUUAACUGCAAGACAUACAAGUCAAGCAGAGACGAAAGUCGGUCUUAGUGAUCCGGUGGUUCUGUGUGGAAGGGCCAUCGCUCAAAGGAUAAAAGGUACCCCGGGGAUAACAGGCUGAUCUCCCCCAAGAGCUCACAUCGACGGGGAGGUUUGGCACCUCGAUGUCGGCUCAUCGCAUCCUGGGGCUGGAGCAGGUCCCAAGGGUAUGGCUGUUCGCCAUUUAAAGCGGUACGCGAGCUGGGUUCAGAACGUCGUGAGACAGUUCGGUCCCUAUCUGCCGUGGGCGUAAGAAGAUUGAAGAGAUUUGACCCUAGUACGAGAGGACCGGGUUGAACAAACCACUGGUGUAGCUGUUGUUCUGCCAAGAGCAUCGCAGCGUAGCUAAGUUUGGAAAGGAUAAACGCUGAAAGCAUCUAAGCGUGAAGCCAACUCUAAGAUGAAUCUUCUCUAAGCUCUCUAGAAGACUACUAGUUUGAUAGGCUGGGUGUGUAAUGGAUGAAAGUCCUUUAGCUGACCAGUACUAAUAGAGCGUUUGGCUUAUCUUUAAUAAAGCAU
RNAcentral lists this ribosomal RNA (3071 nucleotides) under Campylobacter jejuni. RNAcentral's name for it is "23S ribosomal RNA". It matches the Rfam family "Bacterial large subunit ribosomal RNA". The record is from RNAcentral. Lineage: Bacteria; Pseudomonadati; Campylobacterota; Epsilonproteobacteria; Campylobacterales; Campylobacteraceae.